Molecule: long non-coding RNA, 5595 nt
Organism: Numida meleagris (helmeted guineafowl)
Lineage: Eukaryota; Metazoa; Chordata; Aves; Galliformes; Numididae
Exons: 3
Source: RefSeq, a predicted model, not a curated record
UUUUCAGAUGCCAUCCACUUUAUUAUCUGAGUGGGAUGCACAAAUAAUGGCAGCUAAUGCCAGGAGCAGAGAUAGAAUGAAGCUUGUUCCCUUUUGGGAAAAGCUGAAAUAAAACCACCGUAUGAAUGGGUCAUUGAAAACAGGCUGGAAUAUAUUCCCUAUAGUCCUCCCGAAAGUUCAAGGGCAGGGGAAAAGAAAAAAAACAGAAGAAACUGUCUCUGUGUUCACUAAACUUCUAAUAUCUGAAAGUGCUUAAAAAAACACACAUGCACUUUUUUUCAUAUGAUCAUGGAAAAACACACUAAGCUUUUGACUCAAUGGUUUUGUUUUUCCAGUGAGUCCUUUCCAGGUUCCACGCGCCAUCUCACAGUCACGUCUGCUGGGUGAGCUUCGAGCUAACAAAUUUCAGAAGAGCUCUUUGCGAUUCUGCCGCAUUGAGUUUCAAGUAUUGGCUUGCUGGAAGUGCAGCGGAGAGGGAAGAGGGAGGGAAGUGGUGUGAGCUUUGCCAACACACCUGCACAAGCUUUGGGCUCUCCUGGACAUUCUGUGCACUAAUGAUGUAUAACCUGUAGAGCCUGGCAACACGUUUUCUGAAGACUAAAACAGACAGUCUGUGCGUGCCUCUGAUUUCUAAUUUCUUAAAACAAGUAAUAACCCCUCCUCCUCCAACCCUGUGCUGUAGGUAAAUGCUUGGAAUGGAAACUGAGAUGUACUCAGCUGGUGAAAGCUUCUACCAAGGUCUCCAGCUCAGCAUCAACACUCUCCUCCCAUCAGAAAGACAAUGCAAAUACAGACAGUUCUGGACGAGCUGAAACUGAAGUGUGGAGCUUUUCUGGAGCGUAUUAAAAGAUAAGUGCCAACCAGAGGACGGCUAUGUGAUUGAAUCAACCUAAGAACUGGUGGUGACCAACACGGACAGUCUCCUCUAUUCCUCACACACACAAUCCUCGUCUUGUGUGCAGAUACAGAGGAAGCUGCCUCAGGAAACUGUGCUUGCUGAAAACAAAUCUUGUUGUGUUUUAUUUGUGGAUCUCGUUUUAGGCUGAAUUAAUUCCCAAGGCUUGGUAUGGCCAACUUACUGCCAGGCCACAACUGCUACUGGUAUGGGAAACAGCCUGCUGUGAGACUGUAUGAGUUUGUGAUUAGACCCAAUUCAAGUGAUCAUGAUGCUGCAGUCACAUCCAAGCAGUGCUGCCGAUCCAUUAUAUGGUGCACUAUAAACAGCAGCUGUUGCUGUCAUUGCAAGAUCUACCCUCAAGUUGGGACCCAGGAUCAACCCACAGGCAGGCUCAACCUCCUGUGGAACACAUUGCUUUAUUUAUCAAUGAAACAUGAGUCUUCGGUGUUCCUCUGGGAGCAGGAUGCAGGCUAGAUGAGUUCUUCUAGCUUGCUUCUGCUUGCUGUCUUUCCUGGGUACUCCACAGUCUCCUGCUUCUCCCCAACCAGGCUCCACACACACAGAGAAUUUGAUACUUUAAAGUAUUGAAAUAAUCCGUUUACUGCACGUAUACAGAUGAAAUGUCCUGCUCAUGCCCAGACUGUCUGUUUACGUGGUGGGGAAGAGCUAGAGUGGAAUGACCCCUUCCUAUGGCUAGCGGGAAGCUAGACAAGGAAAACUUUGAUAUAUUAGGAAAUCCAGAGCUUUGAGGGCAUGACUUGGAGGCUGUUUUAUGGUAUAUAGUUAUAGUAUGCAAUCCCGUCUUUUUGGCUAUGAUGAUAUAUAUACUUCUACGUAUGUGUGUGAGCAGGCAUAAUAGUCUGAGGCCUUAAUUGUGUUUCAUGUUAAUACAGAUGAAAAGUUGAGGAGCUGCAAGGAACAAUUCUUUCAUUGUCCUCUACACAUCUGGGUUAAUGUUUCCUCCUUGAAUUAGUCUGCACCAGAGUGUUCCUUCUCUGCUCACCACAAGCUAGCAGUGCCAAUUUCCCUCCGUGGCAGCUCCAGUGACAGCUGUUUACUUGGAAGCUCAUGGAUUUGAUAUAUGGGUGCUAGCCACAAAUUAAUGGAAUACUUUCCAGAUGCAAAGUCUUUAAACAUUCAAACAAUAAGCCAAAAGCACUAAACUGUUUUGGACAUUUUUUCUCUUCACUCUGGAUGUCACUUGGAGAUGAUGUAAACACAAUUACUUGGGACAACGAACAGAACACUUAAUUGGUUUUAGAGUAACAGCAUGGGUUGCUGGAUGGCAGUCAGUCAAUGGUGCCAUUUGUCACCUGAUGCCAAGACCCUAAAUGGCCAAGGAGGACAGUAGAAUAAAGAAGAAAAAAGAAGUACUGGAGCUAACUGCUAGCAGGUAGCCUUUCCAGCCUAGUCAGAGAGCUGUGCGUGCUGGCUCAGCCUCCCAGGUUCAGGUAAGAUACACUUGGCAUAGACUAUAAAGAACAGUUCCCAGAAUGUCUCUGGAGGCUCUCUGGAGCAUUUCAGAACAACAAGAGUGUGCAGAGGAUGAUUACAGUGAAUAGGGAUCACUAAAACACUUCAAACCUCUCCUUGUCAGGUGUCAUCUAGAAAUCAGUCUGGAGCAGAAGAGCUAGUGCCUCGCUCAGAAAUGGAGACCCAGAUCAGUCCCAGUCAUGUCACUCUUCCACACCAGACCUUCAGCAGAUCUCAGUUUGCAUUACAUGCACCCUAAUUCUGAGGACUGGGACAAGUCCUCCAGACAGCAUUCGAGGGCAGAAAUCAGCCUACGAAAGUAGGCUAAAUUUCUUUGGGGCUGUGUGUAAGUUUAACUGUUAGUACCUUUGCUCAAAGAUAACAACAGGUCAAAUUGAAAACUUCUGUGAAGUAGAAUGGCUGCACCAAAGCCGGAUGGUAAUGAUUUAUACCACCUCAGAACCUGGGCCAAGAAGUGUAACUGAUUUCUUGGCCAACUUACAUCACUUCUUCUUAUCCCUUUGCAUUUUCUUUGGCAUUUUCUUCUUUGCAUUUUCUCAUUUUCUUCCCCAAAAAUUUAACGUGAUCUGGACAUUUGAGCUACCAGUGUGUUUCUACACACUUUUAUCUACUUACAAAUGCCAGCAAACAUGAGCUGUGUGCCCUUGUAUUGGACAAGGGCAAGAUGGAGCUCCAAGCAACUGUGUCUGAAUUUGAAAUCAGUUCAAGCCUGAAAUACUGCCUGUUUGAAGGUUUCUUCUUUAUUCCUUCCAAUGUUGUGAUUAAUUAGAGAAUUAAUAUGUAUUAAAGUUAUCAUCAUCUUUACUGGAUGGAAAAAUUCAAAUUCAUUAUCUAAUGGGAGGAAAAUAAGCAUCAUUUUACAAGGGUUUUAAAGCAACAGCAGUAAUAACAAACCACCCCAAACUCCAGUCCACAGGCAGCACAGACAUCUGCUAGAAAAAUACGAUGACUCCCCCACCCACCACCCUCAAAUUUAGGGAUUUGUGGAAUACAGGCCUUGCCUGAAGUUGUUUGGCAAGAAUCUUCAUGUGAAGUUCUUAUUUAAUGAAAUCAUGUGGUAGUAAAUCAAACACAGAACCAGGAAUAAGUAAAUCCACCACAUCCUUUGAAAAAAGUAUGGUUUGAUUCCUUCAACUCAAGUUGCUCAGGCAAUGAAUUAUCUAUAUUUGUCAACUAAAAAACCAUCCCCCAACAGUCAACUAAAAAACCAUCCCCCAACAGUCACCCACCUUUUUGGUACAAUUUUCUAAUCCUCAGUCUCAAAGCUGAGCUGAGAGCCAGCACAAUAUGGACAGGUUAGUCACACAAAGAGCUCCUAAGGCUAGUGCUAAGCUGUUGUAUCUUUGCAAAGUCUGUGGAAAUGGCUCAAAAUGCAAAACUUGUGCCCUCCUGCAAAGUGUUCACAUCUGAAUGUUAAAAGAAAGGUGGCGAAUUAGUGUCAUAAACAACAUGAGGGAAAGCGGGUAGAAAAGUGGACAGAGCAACACUAACAUUAUGAUACAAAAAAUUAGAGGUUGGCUUCACGGACUUGGUAGCGUUAUGCUGACGGCUCGUGUUGAUCUGAAGGGUCCUUUCCAACCUCAAUGAUUCUAUCUAAUACCUACUGAUGUGAGAAGAAGCCUUAACACAGAUCCACUUUACAUGGCUUUCUCUAUGCCCAUGGAGGUUCAGAGCCAUGGAAAGGUGCUGAGUAGCCUUCUGAUAAAUUCGUUAUAAUUUGGUCACAACUAUUAUAGCUCAAAGGAUCUCUCACAGAACUUUUUUCUUCUGAGACUUCCUAGAGAAACUAUGCCUACUGAAUCAAUGAUAUCUGCGCACAACGUUUGAUGUUUUUUAAGAUAUGAUUCAAUUUUCUAUGUUGCCUUUUUUAUUUUUCCCUGGAAAAAUUGAUGUAAAAAAAGGAAAAAGUAAGUUCAGUGAAAUUUUCUUUUUUUUUCUUUUUAAAGGAAACCUGUAUUCCUGUAUUUUCUGUGGAAAAUCACAACAAAAACAAUCACUUCUUGUCAACAUUUCCCUUAGGAGUAAUAAAACAUGAUUUUCAUUCACUAGUAUGCCCAAGAAAACAAGCAGAAGAGAGAACAUCAGUGUCUUUACAAACAAGAUUUACAAAGAGAGAUACUGUGAGGGAGCAGUUGGAAGAGGUAUUGUAUCAGAUUCUGCUGCUGUGUCCAUUCUAACCAUGACCCACCUGCUGAGACUGCUGUGCUACCUGUAGUUGCUGCUUGAAAUUAAUUCACUCUCUUAAUUAUAUGAAAACUCCCUUAGCUCUUCUCUCUUUAAUGACAAAAUACACAACAUUUUCACCCUACCUCACUUGCUAACAUUAAGAACUUUUAAUUUAAUGUUAUUAUUUUUAUAAUUGAGUACUUACAAGUACUGAGAAGACAGUUUUAUUCUUGCUGAUCCGUCUUGUAUUCAUUAUUGUUUCAGCUUUGUGAUUCAUCACUGUGAAAUCAAAAUGAAAUAGCUCUUCAGAAAUCAUGGGAUUUCCUAGAAUCCCCAUCCGAAUGCCAUUUAAGAAGAUUUGGCUUUGUAAUUAACCAUUUCUGAGGGAGUUAAAAAAUAUACACAACUCAAAUGUGGCAUUUUUACAACCUUAAUAAAACCAAAUGCAACGUUUACUAGGUACUCACUUUAACAAAAAGAAAAAGGUUGCCAUAGCAAAACAGCAAUCAUAGUAAUUUUAAGUGAAACUGAUGGUAAUUGUAGAACAGCAAUGUGCAUGUUAUUGGCCUAAGAAAAAUUCUGUCUUUGUACUUGAAUAGCAGAACUUGAUAAAAACAAGAGAUCACCACGUAGAAACAGGCUAAAGGGCUUAGCAAAAACCCAAAGUAACUUUUCUACUGCACAGCAAAACUCAUACCAAAAAUGUCCCCCACCAGCCAUGAUCUUAGCUCUCCUGAAUGCCAGUGACUUUCCUAGAACUGCUGUGGACUCCAAUAGAUAAAACUAAUUCACGGAUGCACCCACAAUGUGCUUCCUCAAGCAAAAUGCACUGCUGUAGGGAUGCUUCCCAGCAAGGCUAAGCAUUGCUGUGGGAGGGAGGCAGUGGUGGCUGCUAUGCCAUACACAGAGGGAGACAGCCUGUGUGCUCUCAGUGAUUUAUUUUCUUUCUUUAUGGUCCAAUUUACAGAGGUAAAGUAUGGAAUGAACUAUAGCCGGGUAAUGUUAUUUGAAGGUCUUUGGUUUUGUUAAAAAAUAAA